RNAcentral lists this ribosomal RNA (147 nucleotides) under uncultured eukaryote. RNAcentral's name for it is "partial small subunit ribosomal RNA". The record is from RNAcentral.
GUACACACCGCCCGUCACACCAUGGGAGUUGGUUUCACCCGAAGAUGGUGCGCUAACCUGCUUGCAGGAGGCAGCCAGCYACGGUGGGAUCAGCGACKGKGGUGAAGUCGUAACAAGGUAGCCGUAGGUGAACCUGCAGAAGGAUCA